RNAcentral lists this unclassified non-coding RNA (402 nucleotides) under Hevea brasiliensis (rubber tree). Lineage: Eukaryota; Viridiplantae; Streptophyta; Magnoliopsida; Malpighiales; Euphorbiaceae. The record is from RNAcentral.
AAAAGUAUCAACGGCUUCGAGAAGACCAAAUCUUGGAUAAGGGCUUCUUCGUCCCAUCAAUGCAAACAUGGCUUCAAAAAUUGGAGGCACCUGGGUUGAAAUAUCUUCUUCUGUGCCUGAAUUAAAGUCAUUUUGAACCGUUUCAUCAUGUUCUUCGUUAAGUUCUUCAACGAAACCACCGUUACAAUAAGGGCAAACUACGUCUUCUCCAUCAAGCCAGAAUGAAUGGUUGCAUUGAUAGCACCAAUGGGUGUCUUCACCAAUAGAUGACAUCUUCCUCUCAAAUGCAACAGUUGAAAGAAAAGCCCAGGUUUAUUCCUAGAUGUAGAGAAAUCGGAGCUGAAGUAGGAGCAGUGGAAAGCUAGGGAAGAAGGAGAAACAAGAACAGUGGGUGAAGAUUUG